Molecule: ribosomal RNA, 629 nt
Filed under: uncultured Photobacterium sp.
Lineage: Bacteria; Pseudomonadati; Pseudomonadota; Gammaproteobacteria; Vibrionales; Vibrionaceae
Description: bacterial SSU rRNA
Rfam family: Bacterial small subunit ribosomal RNA
Source: RNAcentral
CAUGCAGUCGAGCGGUAACAGAAAGAAAGCUUGCUUUCUUUGCUGACGAGCGGCGGACGGGUGAGUAAUGCCUGGGAAUAUGCCUUAGUGUGGGGGAUAACUAUUGGAAACGAUAGCUAAUACCGCAUAACGUCUUCGGACCAAAGAGGGGGACCUUCGGGCCUCUCGCGCUAAGAUUAGCCCAGGUGGGAUUAGCUAGUUGGUGAGGUAAAGGCUCACCAAGGCAACGAUCCCUAGCUGGUCUGAGAGGAUGAUCAGCCACACUGGAACUGAGACACGGUCCAGACUCCUACGGGAGGCAGCAGUGGGGAAUAUUGCACAAUGGGGGAAACCCUGAUGCAGCCAUGCCGCGUGUAUGAAGAAGGCCUUCGGGUUGUAAAGUACUUUCAGUCGUGAGGAAGGCAUUGUAGUUAAUAGCUGCAGUGCUUGACGUUAGCGACAGAAGAAGCACCGGCUAACUCCGUGCCAGCAGCCGCGGUAAUACGGAGGGUGCGAGCGUUAAUCGGAAUUACUGGGCGUAAAGCGCAUGCAGGCGGUCUGUUAAGCAAGAUGUGAAAGCCCGGGGCUCAACCUCGGAACCGCAUUUUGAACUGGCAGACUCAUGCAGUCGCAUGCAGUCGAGAAUUUCA